RNAcentral lists this long non-coding RNA (1440 nucleotides) under Bos taurus (domestic cattle). RNAcentral's name for it is "long non-coding RNA NONBTAT025033". The record is from RNAcentral. Lineage: Eukaryota; Metazoa; Chordata; Mammalia; Artiodactyla; Bovidae.
UGUAAGUUAUAUGUUAUUUUGUUUGGCUUGAAAAGAAUUAGUAAUAAAAUGUGAAGGGCAUAAUGGAGAUUUUAUAUAUAUAUACACACAUACACUUUUGUUUGUUUAUUUUUAAUGAAGCAGUUACUCUGACUUAAUACUGCUACUUUAUAACUAUCAAACUUGACUUUAGAAUGAAAUUUGAUAGCUAAAACAACUAUUAAAUUACCCAGGGGAAUUUUGUAUGUAACAUGGGAUGGAGUGAAACAUAUAUUUUGUUUUUUGCUAUUUUAGUGACUUGGAUUUUCUGUGAAUUCUCCUCUUUUAGGAGGUGAUUUUAUAGUGCUGCUCUUGACAUUCUUUCCACAGGACUCAGUGUUACCCCUAGUUUUAUGACACUGCCAUCCUCUCCGCUUCCCCUCUGCCCCCUCCCCACCCCCCCUGUAUUUUUUAUUUGCUAGCUUUUUCAGAAAAAGAGAACAAGAGAUGAAGUGGAGUUUUCAGCUACAAGAUUAUCCUGUUCAAGUGUUGAGAUUGCUGUUGGAACUUCUAACAACAUUGAUAUAAUAAAAGAACAUUAUAAUUUACACACUGUAAUAUUAUCUUUACUCAUGAAAGUGAAUGUUAGUAUGAAAAUGAAACUCUUUAGGGAGGGACAGUUUAGUGCAGUGUGCUGUACUACAUUAUUUGGUGUGGAAGAUGGUGGUUGGGAGUUGCUGGGGCUGUUCUGUAAAAAAUAACUUUUACAUCAAGUUCCUUCAUUUGUGAUUCAGCCUGUAGCCUAUUUUUAGUGUCAGCGGUUACUUUAUAACAGCAUAUUCCCAGUUUUUAAAACUUCUGACUUAUUUGAAUAUAGUGCUACAUUUGCCCUCACUUUUGUGCUCUUUAUGCUUUUUUGUUUGCUUGUUUAAAAUACCUUAUUAAAAUAUUCUAAAGUGGGCUUAAGAGAAUUAAGGGCUGGAUGGUCCUUAUGUAUUUUAGAAGACCUUGUUUCUUUGCAAGCAUCUUCUAAAAAUGAUCACACUGACGUGUUGUCAGAGUAAUCAGAUAGAAGCCUUAAAGUGAAUGAGUUUCUGCAUGAAACUUUGGCCUAGAGUUGGAAGCCAUGGUAUAAAGUAGCUUUUUUGAGAUAACUUCUGUUAUGAUGGCCUGGUCCUCAGGAGUUUGCCCAGGCUUUUGAAUGAAGACUGUCACUUCACCAACAUCAGUUAUUUUCCUAAUACGAAGAUUUAGUGUUAAGUCUCAUUGUUCUUUUACCUAAAGCUGCCUUUUGGAUCUACCCUAUAAAACCUAGAAUUUCUUUGUCUCCAUCUGGAAAAUGACCUAAUAUUCUAAUAUUAGAUGUGUAGGGAUUUUGAGUUUACCCUAUGUAAUUGAAAUGAAUAUUAUAAUAUUGGAAAAUCAAUUUUGGAAGCAACAUUUCUCAUUACUUCAAUUAUGUGAAUAAAAAAGCUUAAGUUA